GAGCAAAGGGGCCGGAUAUAGUGGCGAAUCUUUGCAUUGAAGGUUGGCGACACAGUAUGCAGUUCUCCGUGCCGCUCAGACUUUGCUCUGCUGUGACGGCCUCGAACAAUCUGCUACAUC
This is a non-coding RNA of Hordeum vulgare subsp. vulgare (domesticated barley), 120 nucleotides long. The record is from Rfam. NCBI's taxonomy places the organism in Eukaryota, Viridiplantae, Streptophyta, Magnoliopsida, Poales, Poaceae.